RNAcentral lists this ribosomal RNA (115 nucleotides) under Vreelandella titanicae BH1. The record is from RNAcentral. Lineage: Bacteria; Pseudomonadati; Pseudomonadota; Gammaproteobacteria; Oceanospirillales; Halomonadaceae.
ACCAGGGGAACUGAAACAUCUAAGUACCCUGAGGAAAAGAAAUCAACCGAGAUUCCCCUAGUAGCGGCGAGCGAACGGGGACCAGCCCUUAAGCAUGAGACUGAUUAGGCGAACA